This 253-nucleotide ribosomal RNA is filed under the name uncultured bacterium. Its description in RNAcentral is "partial 16S ribosomal RNA". It matches the Rfam family "Bacterial small subunit ribosomal RNA", at positions 524 to 776 of the family's 1533-position model. The record is from RNAcentral.
UACGUAGGGGGCAAGCGUUGUCCGGAUUUAUUGGGCGUAAAGAGCGUGUAGGCGGUUUGGUAGGUCCGUUGCGAAAACUCGAGGCUCAACCUCGAGACGCCGAUGGAAACCAUCAGACUAGAGUCCGGAAGAGGAGAGUGGAAUUCCUGGUGUAGCGGUGAAAUGCGCAGAUAUCAGGAAGAACACCCGUGGCUAAGGCGGCUCUCUAGUACGGUACUGACGCUGAGACGCGAAAGCGUGGGGAGCGAACAGG